GACGAACGCUGGCGGCGUGCUUAACACAUGCAAGUCGAACGGAAAGGCCUGCUUUCCCUUGUGGAUUGCGGGUACUCGCGUGGCGAACGGGUGAGUAACACGUGAGUGAUCUGCCCCCAACUUGGGUAUAAGCCUGGGAAACUGGGUCUAAUUCCCGAUAGGACUGCAGGGUGGUGCCUGUGGUGGAAAACGAUUUUCUAGUGGUUGGGGAUGAGCUCGCGGCCUAUCAGCUUGUUGGUGGGGUAAUGGCCUACCAAGGCGGCGACGGGUAGCCGGCCUGAGAGGGUGGACGGCCACAUUGGGACUGAGAUACGGCCCAGACUCCUACGGGAGGCAGCAGUGGGGAAUAUGGCACAAUGGGCGGAAGCCUGAUGCAGCGACGCCGCGGGGGGGAUGACGGCCUUCGGGUUGUAAACUCCUUUCGACCGCGAGGAAGCCACCUGGUUGGAAGGGUGGUGACGGUAGUGGUAGAAGAAGCACCGGCUAACUACGUG
This 494-nucleotide ribosomal RNA is filed under the name uncultured bacterium. RNAcentral describes it as "partial 16S ribosomal RNA". It matches the Rfam family "Bacterial small subunit ribosomal RNA", at positions 28 to 507 of the family's 1533-position model. The record is from RNAcentral.